Molecule: ribosomal RNA, 253 nt
Filed under: uncultured bacterium
Lineage: Bacteria
Description: partial 16S ribosomal RNA
Rfam family: Bacterial small subunit ribosomal RNA
Source: RNAcentral
UACGGGGGGGGCAAGCGUUGUUCGGAAUUACUGGGCGUAAAGGGCUCGUAGGUGGCCAACUAAGUCAGACGUGAAAUCCCUCAGCUUAACUGGGGAACUGCGUCUGAUACUGGAUGGCUUGAGUUUGGGAGAGGGAUGCGGAAUUCCAGGUGUAGCGGUGAAAUGCGCAGAUAUCGGGAAGAACACCCGUGGCGAAGGCGGUUCUCUGGGACGGUACUGACGCUGAGACGCGAAAGCGUGGGGAGCGAACAGG